Molecule: long non-coding RNA, 722 nt
Filed under: Nicotiana benthamiana
Lineage: Eukaryota; Viridiplantae; Streptophyta; Magnoliopsida; Solanales; Solanaceae
Description: long non-coding RNA (NBEN_LNC012304)
Source: RNAcentral
AGUCCUAAAUCCCCAAGUCCCCUACUGUUCAUUCCCUUCUUCACCUCAUCUGCGUUCAAGCCCGCAAAAUUACGGGCGAGUGAAAUUAAUUUCACUCACGCAUCCUUAUUUCACUACGUCAUCAAGAUUCUAAUUAAUUCUGGCAACAUUUCUCUCCCUCACAUGCUCACACUCUUAUGGUUGUUACUGAUGAAUGGGAGCCACAGAUUGGGAGAAGAAGGCUCAAUCUUUGCCUUUCAUUUUUCACGAACCAACCUAUAUAGAGGGACUUCUCUUCAGAGGUAAGGGGGGAUUUUUUCUUUUUGGCAAAAAAAAAUUCAGAGAGAGUGAAAAAGUGAAAAGUUUCCUGUGAGAUGGUUUUUUUCGAAGUUGGUUUUCUUGGACGAGGCUAAUGAAGUUUAAGAGAAGCGUAGAUAAAAUUUUUUCUUCUCAUUUUUCUAAAUACGGAUUUGAGUUCUAAGAAGAUAAAAUUGAAGUUCAAGCUGGGGUUUACUGUCGAGUCGCUGAGUUUGUUGCUGUCUGAGCUUCUGAUUUCUACUUAUUAGCUUCCAGCUUUCAUUGUAUUCGAAGCUCGAACAAAUUUAAACAAGUUGUUACUGAUUCAGGUGCCUUUUUAUUUGUAUCUCUUGUAGCCCGUUUUUGGCAUUUGAUUCAGAACCAUAUCGAGAAUACGAGUUCAACUGGGUUGGAACUAUUUGAACCUUGGUGAUUGUUGGUCGUAG